This 450-nucleotide ribosomal RNA is filed under the name uncultured bacterium. RNAcentral describes it as "partial 16S ribosomal RNA". It matches the Rfam family "Bacterial small subunit ribosomal RNA", at positions 354 to 796 of the family's 1533-position model. The record is from RNAcentral.
GUGGGGAAUCUUCCGCAAUGGACGAAAGUCUGACGGAGCAACGCCGCGUGAGUGAUGAAGGUCUUCGGAUUGUAAAGCUCUGUUAAUCGGGACGAAAGAGCCUAGUGUGAAUAAUGCUAGGAAGUGACGGUACCGGAAUAGAAAGCCACGGCUAACUACGUGCCAGCAGCCGCGGUAAUACGUAGGUGGCAAGCGUUGUCCGGAAUUAUUGGGCGUAAAGCGCGCGCAGGCGGAUCUGCCAGUCUGUCUUAAAAGUUCGGGGCUUAACCCCGUGAUGGGAUGGAAACUACAGAUCUAGAGUAUCGGAGAGGAAAGUGGAAUUCCAAGUGUAGCGGUGAAAUGCGUAGAUAUUAGGAAGAACACCAGUGGAGAAGGCGACUUUCUGGACGAAAACUGACGCUGAGGCGCGAAAGCCAGGGGAGCGAACGGGAUUAGAAACCCGUGUAGUCC